CGGGCAGUAGCUCAGUGGUAGAGUUCCAGCUUCGUAUGCGGGAAGAUCUGGGUUCAAUUCCCGACUGCUUAC
Molecule: transfer RNA, 72 nt
Filed under: Toxocara canis (dog roundworm)
Lineage: Eukaryota; Metazoa; Nematoda; Chromadorea; Rhabditida; Toxocaridae
Rfam family: tRNA
About the family: Transfer RNA (tRNA) molecules are approximately 80 nucleotides in length.
Source: Rfam by way of RNAcentral